GCCGGGCAUGGUGGCGCGUGCCUGUAAUCCCAGCUACUCGGGAGGCUGAGGCAUGAGAAUUGCUUGAACCCAGGAGACAGAGGUUGCAGUGAGCUGAGAUCAUGCCACUCCAGCCUGGGUGACAGAGUGAGACCUUGUCUCAA
Non-coding RNA from Homo sapiens (human), 143 nucleotides. It matches the Rfam family "Metazoan signal recognition particle RNA". From Rfam's summary of the family: The signal recognition particle (SRP) is a universally conserved ribonucleoprotein. It is involved in the co-translational targeting of proteins to membranes. NCBI's taxonomy places the organism in Eukaryota, Metazoa, Chordata, Mammalia, Primates, Hominidae. The record is from Rfam.